Molecule: ribosomal RNA, 478 nt
Filed under: uncultured bacterium
Lineage: Bacteria
Description: SSU rRNA
Rfam family: Bacterial small subunit ribosomal RNA
Source: RNAcentral
AGGAUGAACGCUGGCGGCGUGCCUAACACAUGCAAGUCGAACGUCCUGUCUCGCAAGAGGCAGGGAGUGGCGGACGGGUGAGUACCACGUGGGUCAUCUACCGUGAGGUGAGGAAUACCGGCGAGAAAUCGCCGACAAGACCGCAUAGGCUCGAUGCAAGUCGAGCAAAGCUCUUUCGAGAGAGGGAGCGCCACACGAGGAGCCUGCGCCCGAUUAGCUAGCUGGUGGAGUAAUGGUUCACCAGGGCGACGAUCGGUAGCUGGUCUGAGAGGACGAUCAGCCACACUGGGAUUGAGAACGGCCCAGACUCCUACGGGGGGCAGCAGUGAGGAAUUUUCGCAAUGGGGGCAACCCUGAACGAGCAACGCCGCGUGCAGGAAGAAGGUUUUCGGAUCGUAAACUGCUUUUCGUCGGGGAAGAGAACGGACGGUACCCGAGGAAUCGAGCCCCGGCUAACGUACGUGCCAGCAGCCGCGGU